This is a long non-coding RNA of Cyprinus carpio carpio, 1669 nucleotides long. Lineage: Eukaryota; Metazoa; Chordata; Actinopteri; Cypriniformes; Cyprinidae. The record is from Ensembl.
UAGGUUUUUAAUAACAGUGUGUAUGACAUAAUCAAAAAUAUAACAUUAUGGUAAAGGUGUUUACAACGCAAGACAAAUGUUUGCUUUUGAAAUAUGUUUGUGAUUGUUACAAUGGAGAGUCAGAGACGUUCGGAUCCAAUUGCAGUAUUUAUUAACAGAAUGGUCAGACAGGUGGAAAUCAGGAAUGGCGUCAGGAAUGGCGUCAGGUAUGUCAGGGGUAACCAGAAUCGAAACCAGAAACAAGCAGAGAUCGGGGCAGGCAGCAGAGAAUCAGAGUCAGAAUACACAAUCCAAGAGUCAGACACGGAAGAACAAACAAAGGGAAACCGCUGGGAAAUGUUAGACAGGGCUAAACAAGACUUCGCAGUGUGAUGGUGUGAGUGUGCUGCUUAUAUGGGUGUGUGUGUAUUAGCUGCAGGUGUGUGUAUGUAAUUUGGUGCAGGUGUGUGUGUGCAAUCAGUCCCAGGAGUGAGGCAAGUUGGGAAAUGGAGUUCUGAAUGAGUCCUAAGUGGAGUGCCCUCUACUGAAGCUCACAGGCACUCCAGCUAGAGAUCGUGACAGUGAUAUUUUGACUGUGGUGUUUCAUUUUGAAAGAGAUGUGAGGCAUUUUGCAUCUUGUGUGUGCAAUUCUUGAAUUUGUGUGUUAAGUUUUGAAAAAAAGAGGAAACCUUUGGAAAAUGUGUGUAAGCAGUUGAAAAAAACUGUAAUCUUCUGACAAAGAUUUUCUACCCUAGACAGUCAUCUCUCAGUUCUGCAAAAAUACAGUACACGUAAGGACUACUUGGCUACAAAUCGAUUCAACAGUAAUGAGUUUGAGGGUGUACAACAGUUACAGUAUUUACUGUACAUAGAAUAAUGAAAGUGUUCUCAGCUGAAUUACUGCUACUAUGUGCUGUAAUUAUAUUGAAUGUGUAAUGUAUAUACCGGAAGUCAUGGCCUAGUGGUUAGAGAGUAUGACUCCUAACCCUAAGGUUGUGGGUUCGAGUCUCGGGCCGGCAAUACCAUGACUUAGGUGCCCUUGAGCAAGUCACUGAACCCCCAACUGCUCCCGGGGCGCCGCAGCAUAAAUGGCUGCCCACUGCUCCGGGUGUGUGCUCACGGUGUGUGUGUGUGUUCACUGCUGUGUGGGUGCACUUUGGAUGGGUUAAAUGCAGAGCACGAAUUCUGAGUAUGGGUCACCAUACUUGGUAUGUCACUUCACUUCACUUCACUUCACUUCACUUGUGUACGUCAUAUCAAACCAAUUAGAUGAGCCUAUAGGCCAACUUCCCUCAUGCUCAGUGAAUGCAGAAGAACAUGGUCAACUAUAGUGCUUUAUAUUUCAUCAGGAACAAAUGACCUUUGACCUCAUCCCCUUAAUUUUUAUUUUACCCUUCUAUUCCUCUAUGUCUCCCACUAUCAGGAUUCAUUUUCCAAAACACAUAAUCACCUGUGCUCUUGUACAUAACACCCUGAGAUUCUGACCUGUGUGUUAUCAGUUUUGCUACUUACAGUUUUUUUAAUUGUUGUGGCACAAUUUUCACAAGCAACUGGUAGAUUUUCAAAAAUCUUAGUACUUAUAUCACAACAGAUCAUUAAAAGUGCACUUUUUCAAAUAUUUCAGCAUAUUUUCAAUUUUGUUAGUAAAAUACAGUAAUCACAAAAUAUACUUUUCACUACACAAAAUAAG